Molecule: ribosomal RNA, 460 nt
Filed under: uncultured bacterium
Lineage: Bacteria
Description: partial 16S ribosomal RNA
Rfam family: Bacterial small subunit ribosomal RNA
Source: RNAcentral
CCUACGGGUGGCAGCAGUGAGGAAUAUUGGUCAAUGGACGAGAGUCUGAACCAGCCAAGUAGCGUGAAGGAUGACUGCCCUACGGGUUGUAAACUUCUUUUAUAUAGGAAUAAAGUGAUCCACGUGUGGGUUUUUGUAUGUACUUUAUGAAUAAGGAUCGGCUAACUCCGUGCCAGCAGCCGCGGUAAUACGGAGGAUCUGAGCGUUAUCCGGAUUUAUUGGGUUUAAAGGGAGCGUAGGUGGUUUGUUAAGUCAGUUGUGAAAGUUUGCGGCUCAACCGUAAAAUUGCAGUUGAUACUGGCAGUCUUGAGUACAGUUGAGGUAGGCGGAAUUCGUGGUGUAGCGGUGAAAUGCUUAGAUAUCACGAAGAACUCCGAUUGCGAAGGCAGCUUACUAGACUGCCACUGACAUUGAGGCUCGAAAGUGUGGGUAUCAAACAGGAUUAGAUACCCCUGUAGUC